RNAcentral lists this ribosomal RNA (341 nucleotides) under Flavobacterium sp. RNAcentral describes it as "bacterial SSU rRNA". It matches the Rfam family "Bacterial small subunit ribosomal RNA", at positions 843 to 1186 of the family's 1533-position model. Lineage: Bacteria; Pseudomonadati; Bacteroidota; Flavobacteriia; Flavobacteriales; Flavobacteriaceae. The record is from RNAcentral.
GUGGCUAAGCGAUAGUGAUAAGUAUCCCACCUGGGGAGUACGGGCGCAAGCCUGAAACUCAAAGGAAUUGACGGGGGCCCGCACAAGCGGUGGAGCAUGUGGUUUAAUUCGAUGAUACGCGAGGAACCUUACCAAGGCUUAAAUGUAGAUUGACCGGUUUGGAAACAGACCUUUCGCAAGACAAUUUACAAGGUGCUGCAUGGUUGUCGUCAGCUCGUGCCGUGAGGUGUCAGGUUAAGUCCUAUAACGAGCGCAACCCCUGUUGUUAGUUGCCAGCGAGUGAUGUCGGGAACUCUAGCAAGACUGCCGGUGCAAACCGUGAGGAAGGUGGGGAUGACGUA